RNAcentral lists this ribosomal RNA (253 nucleotides) under uncultured bacterium. Its description in RNAcentral is "partial 16S ribosomal RNA". It matches the Rfam family "Bacterial small subunit ribosomal RNA", at positions 524 to 776 of the family's 1533-position model. The record is from RNAcentral.
UACGGAGGGUGCAAACGUUGCUCGGAAUCAUUGGGCGUAAAGCGCACGUAGGCGGUCCGUUAUGUCGGGUGUGAAAGCCCUCGGCUUAACCGAGGAAGUGCAUUCGAAACUGGCGGACUUGAGUACCGGAGAGGGUCGCGGAAGUUCCCGGUGUAGCGGUGAAAUGACGCAGAUAUCGGGAGGAACACCAGUAGCGAAGGCGGCACUCUGGGCCGGUACUGACGCUGAGGAGCGAAAGCGUGGGAGCAACAGG